GCGAACGCAAUAGAACAACAAAA
RNAcentral lists this non-coding RNA (23 nucleotides) under Cricetulus griseus (Chinese hamster). Lineage: Eukaryota; Metazoa; Chordata; Mammalia; Rodentia; Cricetidae. The record is from RNAcentral.